RNAcentral lists this ribosomal RNA (666 nucleotides) under uncultured organism. RNAcentral's name for it is "bacterial SSU rRNA". It matches the Rfam family "Bacterial small subunit ribosomal RNA", at positions 768 to 1436 of the family's 1533-position model. The record is from RNAcentral.
GCGAACAGGAUUAGGAUACCCUGGUAGUCCACGCUGUAAACUAUGAUCACUCGCUGUUGGCGAUACAUUGUCAGCGGCUGAGCGAAAGCAUUAAGUGAUCCACCUGGGGAGUACGGCCGCAAGGUUGAAACUCAAAGGAAUUGACGGGGGCCCGCACAAGCGGUGGAACAUGUGGUNUAAUUCGAUGAUACGCGAGGAACCUUACCUGGGCUUAAAUGCAGAACGACGUACCGGGAAACUGGUACUCCCUUCGGGGCGGACUGCAAGGUGCUGCAUGGUUGUCGUCAGCUCGUGCCGUGAGGUGUCGGGUUAAGUCCCAUAACGAGCGCAACCCUCAUUGUUAGUUGCCAGCGAGUAAUGUCGGGGACUCUAACGAAACUGCCGGUGUAAACCGUGAGGAAGGUGGGGAUGACGUCAAAUCAGCACGGCCCUUAUGUCCAGGGCUACACACGUGUUACAAUGGCCAGUACAAAGGGCAGCUACCACGCGAGUGGAUGCUAAUCUCUAAAGCUGGUCUCAGUUCGGAUUGAAGUCUGCAACUCGACUUCAUGAAGCUGGAAUCGCUAGUAAUCGCGCAUCAGCCAUGGCGCGGUGAAUACGUUCCCGGGCCUUGUACACACCGCCCGUCAAGCCAUGGAAGCUUGGGGUACCUGAAGUCCGUAACCG